UACGUAGGGACCAAGCGUUGUUCGGAUUUACUGGGCGUAAAGGGCGCGUAGGCGGCUUUGUAAGUCACUUGUGAAAUCUCCGGGCUUAACUCGGAACGGCCAAGUGAUACUGCAAUGCUAGAGUGCGGAAGGGGCAAUCGGAAUUCUUGGUGUAGCGGUGAAAUGCGUAGAUAUCAAGAGGAACACCUGAGGUGAAGACGGGUUGCUGGGCCGACGCUGACGCUGAUGCGCGAAAGCCAGGGGAGCAAACGGG
RNAcentral lists this ribosomal RNA (253 nucleotides) under uncultured bacterium. Its description in RNAcentral is "partial 16S ribosomal RNA". It matches the Rfam family "Bacterial small subunit ribosomal RNA", at positions 524 to 776 of the family's 1533-position model. The record is from RNAcentral.